GCCUUCGUGGUGUAAUGGUCAGCACACUGAGCCGGUAUUUCAGAGGUCCGUGGUUCGAUCCCCGGAGAAGGCA
Molecule: transfer RNA, 73 nt
Filed under: Stegodyphus mimosarum
Lineage: Eukaryota; Metazoa; Arthropoda; Arachnida; Araneae; Eresidae
Rfam family: tRNA
About the family: Transfer RNA (tRNA) molecules are approximately 80 nucleotides in length. Their secondary structure includes four short double-helical elements and three loops (D, anti-codon, and T loops).
Source: Rfam by way of RNAcentral